Molecule: long non-coding RNA, 1703 nt
Organism: Phyllostomus discolor (pale spear-nosed bat)
Lineage: Eukaryota; Metazoa; Chordata; Mammalia; Chiroptera; Phyllostomidae
Exons: 2
Source: RefSeq, a predicted model, not a curated record
UGGGUAAAAGUUAUAGGGGACAGAACUUUCUAGAACUUUCCAGAGAUGCUACACACUGCCUUGGAAAGUAGUGAGACUUCUGUCAUUGGGAAUAUAUUAGCGGAGGUUGGACAGUCCCUGGCAGGUCUGUGCCUUUAGUGGGGAUGAAAUGGGAUGACUAGUUAAAAUGUGAAUAUUCUAGAAUUCCCCUCAUGUGCCAGUCUGGAGGCUGAAGGAGGAGGAGUGCCUGCCAGCGCAGGUGGGGUUGAGGGGGACGAGGUGCCGAGUGAGGGCGGAGUUGGCCCAGGGUGGGCUGCCAGGAAGGAGGUUGGCAUCAGGACGAGAAAUACUUUUUAAAAAAAUCCUCACCCAGUGACAUUUUUUCAUUGCUUUUACAGGGAGAGGAAGGGAGAGAGAGAAACGUCGAUGGGAGAGAGAAGCAUCAGUUGGCUGCCUCCCACGGCACCCGGACCAGGGGUCGGGGAUCAAACCCACAACCUAGGUACGGGCCCUGACUGGGAAUUGAACCCACAGCCUUUCUGUUAUGGGAUGAAGCUCCAACCAUCUGAGCCACACUGGCCAAGGCUGGAUGAGCAAGACUUUGGAUGGGGGCUCAGCCCCCCCUGGAUGUGCCUGAUGACCCCACUUUUUGAUGUGACCGGUGCUUGCUCAGGGCCCUGCGUGUGCGCUCAGCGGCCCUGACCUCGGCCCUGUGAGGACAAUGAGGCUCCAGCUGGCCCCCAAGUUGUCCUCCGUGCUGGUGGUGCAGUGGAGAUGAGGAGGCUGUCAGAGUCCAGAACCUUCCCUCUUAGCUCAGACACGCCACCCCUCCCUGCCGUGGGGACUGCCACUGUUGCUUUGUCUUCAGGCUUUAACUGCUCAGCGGGGACCGCCUGUCCUUCAGGCCUCUGGCUCCACUCGACUGUGCUGGUUCACGAAACUUCCCUGUGCCGUCCUGGCCCUGCACCUUUGGGUGCAGGAACUCAUUCUCUCUCAUGAGCACCCAUGACUGAUCGCAUGAACUUGACGAGUGUCUCUGCUUGGGACUUCCCCAGAGACGGCUGCAGUCCGCUGGCCUCCGAAGCGCCCUGCUUGGGGCCAGCCCCCAGGCCACGCCUCUGCUUCCCGAAGGGGUGGGAGGGUGGAGUAGGGUUUGGGGGCUGAGCCUCCCCAGGCCCAAAGAGAAACUCCCCCCGUAGAUCCAAGAAGGACAAGAAGGGUCUCCCCCAAACCCUGCUCAGGAGACUCUUAGGACGAGAAGUGAUGAGUGUUAACACUAAGCACUUAGUAUCAGGCAUCUCGCCUAACUCCCCAAUCACCCUGUGAGGUAGUCAGUGCCUCAUGUCUUCCUGUGUGAUCCCCAUUUCACAGAUGGCAAACUUGAGGCCGAAGAUGUAAGGCCCUCAGGGUGCCACACCUGAGUGUCAGAGCCAGGGCUCAAACCCAGGUCCCUUCGAUUCCAAGACUGCCGCGCUUCACCCCCGUGGUCAGCUGUCUUCCAGCAGGAUGCUGUGAGCCACCAGGUGGACCCUGCCAGGAGCCACCGCGACAAACCUCAGGGCCGAGCACACAUCCCCAAACAGCCCCCGUCCCCCUCCGUUGUGCAACGUGCUGGAGGCAGCCGCUCGGAAAAUUGAAAAGAGAUGGAGGCCCCGGGUGAGUAUUUUUUUAGGGCCCUUAAGGAAAUGUGGAAUUCUACCACAGUUUCCACGGCUUGGAUUAUG